CACAAACGACCGGUAAAAAGUCACCGAAAUGACACAUCAACUUGAAAUUUCUCCUCGUCGGUUUGGCAGUUAACAGGAAACGGCAGGCAUUUAUUUCCAGGGAUUUCAGAACAGCGUAACAGAUAUUGCGUCAUCGGUUUCAAAAACCUGUCGAAAGGAACGUGUCAUUUUCAGAGAAAGCAACACCGAACACUCGACACAGAAAACAAAAGCAUGCAUCGCGAUCUACAGAAUAUUCAAGCCAGGUCCGUGAUUGAUACCAAGCGGCCGAAAAACAUCUCUCUCUCCCUCCAAAAAGAGUUCGGGGGUAUGAUUUCAGAACCGGCUGAAGCUGCAGAUGAACUCGACUCAUCCAUUUCUCCGACCUCAUUGCCGCAAAUGGAUGAGGAGGUGGUAGCUGUGUCCUGGAGAGCUAAAGUGGUUUUCUUUUGUCCUUUUGGAACAAGAAAUCUGUACAUGUUGUAUUUCAUUAGGCUUUAUAUAGUGUGUUAAUCAAGUUCACUAACAGUUCUAAUAAAGUUACUGUGACUGUCA
Molecule: long non-coding RNA, 534 nt
Organism: Tachysurus fulvidraco (yellow catfish)
Lineage: Eukaryota; Metazoa; Chordata; Actinopteri; Siluriformes; Bagridae
Exons: 3
Source: RefSeq, a predicted model, not a curated record